GGACAAACAAGGACAGACAAAGGGAUUAAGUCGAUUACAUCGACCCUAGUGCGUUAUUAGUACUCAUUUAAUUAACCCCGAAAGGAUGAAAGGCAAAGUUGACCUCGGUGGAAUUUGAACUUAUAACGUAACAGCAGACGAAAUACCUAUUUCUUUACCACACACAAGAGGCUAAACACAGAGAAGACAAACAAGGACAUACAAACGGAUUAAGUCGAUUAUAUUGACCCCGGUGCAUAAGUGGUACUUAUUUAAUCGACCCCGAAAGGAUAAAAGGCAAAGUCGACCUCGGCGGAAUUUGAACUCAGAACGUAGCGGCAGACGAAAUACUGCCAAGCAUUUCGCCCGGCGUGCUAACGAUUCUCGCCGUCCUUGUAUAUAAUAUCUUUAUUAUCCGGUCCGGUGACCUGCCCUACGAAUACGAUUCUUUAAUGCCAGAUGUCCCUAACGAGCGAUGUGGGGUAUGAGCGUCCGACUUUUAGACACAUGUGUCAUUCACAAACUGAAAUAUCCCUUAUGCAUAUGCCAUGACGACAGAUGAUAGCAGCAGUAAACUUACUGAAUUAUUUAAUCCUGAUCAUUGACAGUUUGUUGUCUCUUCAUCUGUUCAGUAUCAGGCGUUGAUCUACGGCGCAGGCGUUGCGCUGUGGUAAGAAGCUGGCUUCCAACAACAUGGUUUCGGGCUCCGUUCCACUGCAUGGCACUUUGCACAAGUGUCUUCUAGUAUAGCCCCUGACCGACCAAAGCCUUGUGCGUGGAUUUAGUCGACGAAGACUGAAAGAAGCACGUCAUAUAUAUAUAUAUAUAUAUAUAUAUAUAUAUAUAUACAAAUACAUAUACAUAUAUACAUAUCACACCGUCUCCGAUGAAGGGAUAUUAGUAAUUAAUAUCCUAGAAACAGCUGUAAGACAUUCUAUCUAUAAAUGCUCUAAUAUCUAUACAGCCUUGGAUUUUUAUCUCAUUACGCAAAAAAUUCAUAUAUACACACGCUGACAUAGAACCAACGUUGAACCCUUUAUUCGCAAUAUUACCGAAUCUGGAACUUAACUAUGGUCUGUCUAUAGCAUUUAUUCAGCAUUACCUAGCACUUAUAUACAUACAGGGCGAAGUCACUAGAUAUGUAAGUAAGUCAUCUAAUCACCCCGCGAAUAUACUAAAAUCAUUAGUUAAAAAUAUUUCUCAAAGAAUUUCAAAAUUAUCAUCAAGUAGUGAAAUCUUUAACUCUCACUCUAACCAUUACAAUAUCGCAUUAUCCAAGGCUGGAUAUGACCAGGAAAUCACCUUCCUUGAUAUGGAUAGCUCAAAUCUCCUAAAUAAUAUAGUGAAUGGAAAUUACGUAAGUAAUAUAAACUCUCAUACCCUACAUAAACAUGAAUUAAUAGAGAAAAAGAACCUAGUGUAUAAACCUAAUUAUAGGAAUAAAAAUAGUGAACAGACCAUAAAUAAAUAUAAAAA
Molecule: long non-coding RNA, 1455 nt
Filed under: Octopus vulgaris (common octopus)
Lineage: Eukaryota; Metazoa; Mollusca; Cephalopoda; Octopoda; Octopodidae
Source: RNAcentral